GGCGCCGCCGGGUGGCGGCGAGACGCCUCCGCGCCUCCGGGGUUCCUUGUUGGCUGUCGGAGGAGGACCGGCUGAGGGAUGGCCUGGUGGGGAGGGAGCCCUCGGGCAGUUAGCUGCGUCGGGCCUGGGGCAGUUGUGCUGCACUUGGAGACCUGCCCGCCUUCGGGGCCUGUGUGCACGGGGAGGAUAGGCUGUUUAUCUCUGCAGGCUCAGGAAGGCAGCAAGCUGCAGUGUGGUAAACUGCCUUUGAAAGAGACCCACAUGUCAAGAAACUGAGCAUCACCUGUGACCAACAGCCAGAAAGUAACUGAAGCCCCAAGACGAACAGCUUGUGCAAAACUAAAUUCUGCCUACAACAAGAGCAUGAAUCGAGACGCAGAUCCUUCCCUAGUUGAUCCUUGAAAUGCUUGCAGCUCUAUGGACACCUUGAUUGCAGCCUUGUGAGAAAUUCUGAACUAGAGGACCUCGUAUGCCUUACCCAUAGGACUUAGAAGAUAAUACGUGUUUUUCAAAAAAGUAAGUUUGGG
This 527-nucleotide long non-coding RNA is filed under the name Pan troglodytes (chimpanzee). Its description in RNAcentral is "long non-coding RNA NONPTRT016749". The record is from RNAcentral. Lineage: Eukaryota; Metazoa; Chordata; Mammalia; Primates; Hominidae.